This 321-nucleotide ribosomal RNA is filed under the name Eocercomonas sp. RNAcentral's name for it is "SSU rRNA". The stretch from base 103 to 321 matches the Rfam family "Eukaryotic small subunit ribosomal RNA", at positions 736 to 955 of the family's 1831-position model. The record is from RNAcentral. Lineage: Eukaryota; Cercozoa; Cercomonadida; Cercomonadidae.
GAUUUCUGACUUGGUGCGCGCUGUCCGUUGCGGUUACGUGACGUGUGCAGUAGCGCGCCUGUCAUACUUCUGGAUUUUGAUGUUGCCCUUCACUGGGUGAUGUCGCUAUCUAGAUCUUUUACUUUGAAAAAAUUAGAGUGUUUCAAGCAGGCUUUAUGCUAUGAAUACAUUAGCAUGGAAUAAUAAUUUAGGACUUCGGUUCUAUUUUGUUGGUUUCUAGGACUGAAGUAAUGAUUGAUAGGGAUAGUUGGGGGUGCUAGUAUUCAGCGGCCAGAGGUGAAAUUCUCGGAUUCGCUGAAGACUAACUUAUGCGAAAGCAUU